AAUGCGAUCAUACCAGCA
Molecule: small nuclear RNA, 18 nt
Filed under: Arabidopsis thaliana (thale cress)
Lineage: Eukaryota; Viridiplantae; Streptophyta; Magnoliopsida; Brassicales; Brassicaceae
Description: snRNA_06856
Source: RNAcentral